This 467-nucleotide ribosomal RNA is filed under the name uncultured bacterium. RNAcentral describes it as "partial 16S ribosomal RNA". It matches the Rfam family "Bacterial small subunit ribosomal RNA", at positions 28 to 507 of the family's 1533-position model. The record is from RNAcentral.
GAUGAACGCUGGCGGCGCGCCUAACACAUGCAAGUCGAACGAUUAAAGCACCUUCGGGUGUGUAUAAAGUGGCGAACGGCUGAGUAACACGUGGGCAACCUGCCCCUCUCAUUGGGAUAGCCACGGGAAACCGUGGAUAAUACCGAAUACUUCGGGACUUCCGCAUGGAAGACUCGAGAAAGCUCCGGCGGAGAGGGAUGGGCCCGCGGCCUGUUAGCUUGUUGGUGGGGUAAUGGCCUACCAAGGCAAUGAUGGGUAGCUGGGUUGAGAGACCGACCAGCCAGAUUGGGACUGAGACACGGCCCAGACUCCUACGGGAGGCAGCAGUGGGGAAUCUUGCACAAUGGGUGAAAGCCUGAUGCAGCGACGCCGCGUGCGGGAUGAAGGCCUUCGGGUUGUAAACCGCUUUCAGCAGGGACGAGGCGAAAGUGACGGUACCUGCAGAAGAAGCCCCGGCUAACUACGUG